CUCACUGUGCAGGUGGGGAAAUUUAGACCCUGAAAAAGGGAUGCCCUGAGAUCACCAUGAGAUUGAGGGGCAAGCAGGGCUCACCCUGACUGGCUCACUUCCCAGGCACCCCCAUGAGCCCAGGCACCGCCUGCCACCCUCACUCUCCAGGAAGAGCCACCGCGUGGUGGCCGGGAUCGUGUGGUGGCCAGGGCGUCUGACCUUGGCUCUCACCCGGAGGCCAUCCAGGUGCUGAGGAUGGCUAACGCUAAGGCCACACAGCCAGGGAGAGGAGGUGGCUCGUGACACCACGAUGGGACACACCCACCUCUGGGAGAGGAGGGUGACUCCGACAGCCCUUGCCUGCCAGGAUGGAGCCUGGACUCUGGAGGGCAUCGUGUCCUGGAGCAGCACCAGCACCUCCUGUUGUCACCAGGCGUGGAUGCCCGCAUCAUGAAAUUCAUGCCUGGGAAGGCGUGGAGGCCGAGACCACCCCCCCUACCCCGCAUCUGUGUAAAACACAAAUAAAGCCAUUGAGAGCAACUGCA
Molecule: long non-coding RNA, 527 nt
Filed under: Homo sapiens (human)
Lineage: Eukaryota; Metazoa; Chordata; Mammalia; Primates; Hominidae
Description: non-protein coding lnc-CTRB1-1:5
Source: RNAcentral